AGGUCUCAAGCUAGCUCUUUUACGUUUAGGUUUAUAACUCGGUCUCCGUUUCGGUAAGCGAGUAUCAGUUAAGCUGUGAAAAGCAGCAGCAGAAGCAGCGUUGGACGGUGGAAUCCAUGGAAGUUUUGGUCGGAAAGUGCUGAAUAAAUUCCGACGGAGCUCCGUUACCGGAGAUAUGGUAUUCGCCGGAGAGGUGAUCGGAGUGAAAGCGGAUACGGGUCGGGUCGAUAAGAGUG
Molecule: long non-coding RNA, 236 nt
Filed under: Capsicum annuum
Lineage: Eukaryota; Viridiplantae; Streptophyta; Magnoliopsida; Solanales; Solanaceae
Description: long non-coding RNA (CANN_LNC007781)
Source: RNAcentral